GAUAACCGAACAUACCCGAUGUUCUCGUGCAGGACCCGAGAAUGGGCAUGAGUCUGGUGGCGGCGGACCCUUCGACGUCUCCCGGUUGAAAAAGAAUGCCAACGGUCAAGACUCAAGACUCGCCUCGUGAGUUCAGCCCGGGAGUGCGCGAUUUCCAUUCCUUUGACACCAAACUAUUGCCCGGCCUGCUCGGUGCUCAAGUUUGAAGAAAAUUGUUGGUAACGUGUCUGAUGCUGUGUUUGUAACACGAAGUCGAAAGCGAAGUUCGCCAGUUACCAUUCUGUACUCAAAGAUGUCAGAUAUAAGGAAGUGGUUCAUGAAAUCCCAUGUCAAGGGCAAUGGUGGGGAAUCGAAGCCUGCAAAUCCUGCCCCAAGCAAUUCGGAGACCCUGGUACAUGGAGGCCAAGAAAGUUCAGGCAGGAGGAGAACUAGCAAGUAUUUUGCAACUGACAAACAAAAGCCAGAAGACGAAGAGGAAACAAAGGAACUUCCAGCAAAAAGAAAGACUCAAAAGGAUAGCAUUGAAUCAUUGAAACCCACGCCCUCUAAAAAAGCUCAUAAAGUUGAUAACGACAACGACGACGACUUUAUCUUGCCUAGUUCAAGGAAGAAUUUGGUUGAUGCGACUCCUAGCAAGAAGCUGAAGAGUGGGUUGGGUAGGGGAAUUUCUCAGAAAGGUGUGGAUGUUGAAGAAAGUGAUGAGGAAGAUGAUAAAGAUACUGAAACUCAAAAGUCUGGUGGAAGGGGUCGUGGUAGAAGAGGUUCGUCAGCAGCACCGGCUGGUGGAAGAGGCAGAGGUGGUGGACGGGGUGGAUUUAUGAACUUUGGAGAAAGGAAAGAUCCUCCUCAUAAAGGAGAAAAGGAAGUCCCUGAGGGUGCUCCCAAUUGCUUAGCUGGUUUAACUUUUGUAAUUAGUGGAACACUUGACAGUCUGGAGCGUGAAGAAGCAGAAGAUUUGAUUAAAAGACAUGGUGGUCGUGUCACUGGUUCCGUCAGCAAGAAAACAAAUUAUCUUUUAUGUGAUGAAGAUAUUGGGGGACGGAAGUCUGCUAAAGCCAAAGAGCUGGGUACUGCAAUGCUCAUUGAGGAUGGGUUGUUUGAUAUGAUCCGUGCAUCAAAACCUGCUAAAGCACCUGCACAAGAAGAACCAAAGAGACCAGUAUAUAAGGCCGCACCUGUACCAAGGAAAAGUCCACAGAAAACAGAAGCAAACAAAGAUAGCGUCAGCAAUUCCGUGGAAAUGAAAGCCAGCAGAGGAUUGACCCCAGGGGCAUCUCCGGCUAAGCGAAAAAAUCAAAGUGUUGAGAAAAAUACUUUGACAUGGGCGGAAAAGUAUAGGCCGAAGAUCCCAAAUGAGAUUGUUGGAAACCAGUCACUGGUUAAGCAACUUCAUGACUGGUUGGAACAUUGGAAGGAGCAAUUUCUUGAUACUGGAACUAAUAAAAAGGGCAAAAAGCAAAAUGAUUCUGGCACCAAAAAAGCUGUCCUCUUGAGUGGAACACCUGGCAUUGGAAAAACAACUUCAGCAAAGUUGGUCAGUCAGAUGCUCAGUUUCCAGGCAAUAGAGGUAAAUGCUAGUGACAGUCGUGGGAAGGCUGAUGCCAAAAUUGAAAAAGGAAUUGGUGGAAGCAAUGCAAAUUCUAUAAAGGAACUUGUCAGCAAUGAGGCCCUGAGUGUUAACAUGGAUCGUUCAAAGCAUCCAAAAACUGUACUGAUUAUGGAUGAGGUUGAUGGGAUGUCUGCUGGAGAUAGGGGUGGGAUUGCUGACCUUAUUGCUAGCAUCAAAAUUUCCAAAAUUCCGAUUAUCUGCAUUUGCAAUGACCGCUACAGUCAGAAACUGAAAAGUCUUGUUAACUAUUGUUUGCUUCUUAGCUUUCGGAAACCUACAAAACAACAGAUGGCAAAGAGGUUAAUGCAAAUUGCAAAUGCAGAAGGCCUUCAAGUUAAUGAAGUUGCUGUUGAGGAACUUGCAGAAAGAGUUAAUGGAGAUAUGCGAAUGGCACUAAACCAGUUGCAGUACAUGAGCCUCUCCAUGUCGGUCAUUAAAUAUGAUGACAUUAGGCAGCGUCUUCUUAGUAGUGCAAAGGAUGAAGAUAUUUCACCAUUCACCGCCGUUGACAAGCUGUUUGGUUUUAAUGCGGGGAAAUUGAGGAUGGAUGAGCAGAUGGACCUGAGCAUGAGUGAUCCUGAUCUAGUCCCUCUUCUUAUUCAGGAAAAUUAUAUCAAUUAUAGGCCAAGUUCGGUUGGUAAGGAUGGCAAUGAAAUCAAACGAAUGAACUUGAUUGCCCGUGCUGCUGAGUCUAUUGGUGAUGGGGAUAUAAUCAAUGUACAGAUUCGACGAUAUCGACAAUGGCAGCUGUCUCAAAGUGGUUCCCUUGCAUCAUCUAUAAUUCCUGCCGCAUUGUUGCAUGGACCGAGGGAAACACUGGAAUUGGGCGAGAGGAAUUUCAACAGAUUUGGGGGGUGGCUGGGAAAGAAUUCAACAAUGGGCAAAAACCGGAGGCUUUUAGAGGAUUUGCACAUUCAUCUUCUUGCUUCUCGUGAAUCUAGUUCGGGGAGGGAAAACCUACGAGUAGAAUACUUUACUCUUCUUCUUAAACAGUUGACUGAGCCACUGCGAGUGCUCCAUAAGGAUGAAGCCGUUCAAAAGGUUGUUGAGUUUAUGAAUAUUUACUCAAUAACCCAGGAGGAUUUCGAUACUAUUGUGGAGCUAUCAAAAUUUCGGGGACAUCCAAAUCCACUGGAUGGUAUACAGCCUGCUGUGAAAGCUGCUCUCACCAAGGCUUACAAAGAAGGAAGCAAGUCAAGAAUGGUACGAGCUGCUGAUUUAGUUAUGCUUCCUGGAAUGAGAAAGGCUCCUAAAAAGCGAAUCGCAGCAAUGCUAGAGCCAUCUGAUGAUGGGUUUUCUGAUGCCAAUGUUGACACAUUGGCAGAAAAUGAAGAAGAAAACUCUUCGGAUACAGAGGAUUUAGACAGUACUGCCAAUGGUGAGAAGUUGCAGUUGGAACUUCAAAGUUUGAAUUCCAAAGGAGUGCAAGUAGAAUUGGAUCUGAAGGGCACAGGAAACUCAGGUGCUAAGAAAACACCAGUUGGCAGAAGAAAAGGUGGUUCCGGACCUACAGAGAAGAAAGGUGGGCGAGGUGCAGCAGGAGCUGGUGCCAAGAGAAAGAGAUGAGAAAAUAAAGAAAUUUGAGGCUUGGAUAAGUUUUAGCAUUGUUCAUAAUCGAUGUAGGUGCAUGGAGGAGGUGAAAGAUGCAGUGUCACGGUCCUACCUGAAGGAAAUCAAGUCUGCAGCUCCAGACACCCUCCCCCAAAACCCCCUCACCCCCAAUUCUUUUCCCAACCUGAGCCCUGAGAUAGAGAAUCGUUCAUCGGCUUCUUUGCCGCUAGUUGCCCUGCGCUGCAGUCCUGCCAACAACUCUCUACUGCCAGCUACCCAGGUGAGGAUGAUGAGUACGAGCAAGCGGACCAGACUUAAAUGGAGCAGUUGACUUAGUUGCAAACUUCU
Juglans regia (Persian walnut) is the source of this 3508-nucleotide RNA transcript. It is a transcript of the gene named replication factor C subunit 1-like, with no coding region annotated. The transcript is spliced from 26 exons. Lineage: Eukaryota; Viridiplantae; Streptophyta; Magnoliopsida; Fagales; Juglandaceae. The record is from RefSeq and is a predicted model, not a curated record.